UUUUAAAAUCCAUGUACACAGCUUCUAUAAAUAGCUUGACAUUCACCAAUGUUUCCUUAUUUUGUAUUUGUUCUGUUUUAUGAGGAAAAUGUGAUCCAUCACUAUAAGAGAAUAGUUGCAUUAAGAUUAAGUCAUUAAUCUGAUGUAGACUGUUUAUUUGGACUGUUUGUUAGGACUUUGGUGAAUGAAGCCCGGUGGAGAUUAAGGAGUGUUUCAUUAUUUUUUUUUUUUAUUUAUUUCAUAGAAAACUGGACGCACAGUUCUGCUGGCCGGUCCUCCUGCACGUUCAGCUGCUGUGGCGACAUCUGAAUCUAUAUUUGGAUCGGGAUAUGAAUCUGGAUCUGGAUCUGAUGAAGAUCUUCGGGAUGCUGUAGAGAGCUUUCUGUCUUCUCGUCGGUUAAGUGCAGGAAAGCAGAUCAAGACAAAGGGUCAAAAAAACAGGAAGAUGAGCCCGCCCAGCCUUCAGCAGUGAUUGAACUAAAAAAGAAGCCGAAUGUAAAGUUUAAAAUUUAAUUAAUUAAAUUAAAA
RNAcentral lists this long non-coding RNA (528 nucleotides) under Astyanax mexicanus (Mexican tetra). Its description in RNAcentral is "lncRNA (ENSAMXG00005024706.1)". The record is from RNAcentral. Lineage: Eukaryota; Metazoa; Chordata; Actinopteri; Characiformes; Acestrorhamphidae.